Molecule: long non-coding RNA, 536 nt
Organism: Mus musculus (house mouse)
Lineage: Eukaryota; Metazoa; Chordata; Mammalia; Rodentia; Muridae
Product: predicted gene, 36893
Exons: 2
Source: RefSeq, a predicted model, not a curated record
CGGCGCGUGUGGACGCAGGCUGGGGGAGCAGAGCCGAGGCGUCCCGAGAAAAGCCCAGGGCGGUGAAGAUGGAAGGGAUGAAUCUGAGCGCGACCGAGAUGGAAGGAGAAUCUGAGGAGAAGUGGGGGUGACGGGGUGUAGACCGUGAGCCAUGCCUCGGGACCAGAGGGCAAGGCGCUGGAGAGGGCGGCCCGCCCCUAGCCCCUGGCACGCUCCCCCUAGCCAAGAUCACCUUUCCUGCUGACAAGAAGAUCUCACUUAUGAGUCCCAACCUCGAUGGCAAAUUUGAGAAAGCUUCCCCGGGCUAUUUUUAAGGCUGAACUUUUAUUUGGUUAAAGACCAUUCCUUUGCUAGUCCUUCAGAUGAGGAAGCUGAGAUAGCUCUUCUGCUGAGAGUCUGUGUUGUCCUAAUAAUCUAAUAAAUGAUGUUGAGGAGUCUUUAAAUUGUGAAGCUACACGAAGAAAAGCUAUAAACUGAGAUCUUAAAGCAUGUUGAAUUGUCGACUCACUGGCAAUUAAAGUUUCAUUGUUAUUACA